This 514-nucleotide long non-coding RNA is filed under the name Bos taurus (domestic cattle). Its description in RNAcentral is "long non-coding RNA NONBTAT020434". Lineage: Eukaryota; Metazoa; Chordata; Mammalia; Artiodactyla; Bovidae. The record is from RNAcentral.
GAAGUGCUUCAUAUGUAUUUAAAUGUCACCCCCCCCACACACACACACAGAAACCCCCUAACACUCGCAGUCACGUCCAGAAAGCUCUGCCCCGGUCUCCAUCACCUCGCGUCAGCUGCCCUUUCACAUGCAUGAAGGGGUAGCACAGUUUUAUGAGCUGUAGUUACCUGGGUCCUUUCAGGUCCUGGGUGUAGACCAGUGGCGGUGGCCCCCUCCUCCCUGGUGGGUCCAAACGGAUCUUUAAAGUCCUCAGCUGCGUCCUUAGGUCAAGCGGGGGCCUUGCAGCAGCGCGGUCAGUGACACAGCACUUUAAUGUGACCCGAAGUCAGGACAUCAGCGCACGAGGCUUUCUCCCUCAUGUUUAUUUGAUCGCUGUGCCCAUUAGGAGGCAGGUUUGUUUUCGGCCCCUGAGCCUGCACGCAGGGGCCCAGCCUUAGCCUCACACACUGUCAGCGGUGGGCAGCCUGCUGCUGGGUGUGGUGUGAAUGCCGUGCGGGCGGGAAGGAGGCCCUGC